Long non-coding RNA from Salvelinus fontinalis (brook trout), 6030 nucleotides. RefSeq lists it as uncharacterized. The transcript is spliced from 2 exons. The record is from RefSeq and is a predicted model, not a curated record. NCBI's taxonomy places the organism in Eukaryota, Metazoa, Chordata, Actinopteri, Salmoniformes, Salmonidae.
AAAUACGGCAUGGAAAUAGAGCACUUUAAACUUCCCUGAAGCCACCGAAACAAUGACGAGUCUACCUUACACCAAACAGUAUAAGAUAUCCGACGAUAAGGACAAUGACAAGACAACCAUAAAGAACUGAGGACCAUGUCGGCCAACGUUACAAUACUCAAACAGAAAAAUCAGACGGUACAACACAUUUGGACAAGACAUUAAUAAAGGGGAAUGCUAUUAGGAAAUAGCCCCAAUAACAUAUACAUUUUUAUACACGUAAUCCAGUAAAUGUCUGAUAACCAGUCUACAAUUAAACCUUUAUUUUCCUUGAACAAUCAUUUCAUAGAAUAACAGAGGGUAUGUUCACAUAACACACACAAACAAUGAGUGGUUGAAUCAGUACUAUUUUCAAAGGCAAGCUUGCAGGAGGGAAAUUAGGAGUAAUUACAAAAACAGGAAGGUUCAUCUUUAUCGUGGAUCAUUUGAAAAUACAGCCAGUUACUAUUACUAUUUACAAGCAUUAUUUACACAGGAAAGCUUCCAGGGAGUGUCUUAUCUACAUUUUUAGUUUACUACAUCAUAGUUUGGACGCAUGUGAAAAUCAGACUUUCAGUUAGCGAGGGAAGCAGAGAGCAGUUAUCACUACACCCGUUUUAACAGAACACCUGAGCCAAAAUAUCUAUGGCGAAAAGAAGUGAUAGUGCUACUACUUUACACAUGUGUUUAUGCCUCUUUCAAUAUUGGUGUAUUGCAACAACAAAACAUUUAUUUUUGUCACACACUGGAUAAAUGCAGUGAAGUGUUUUACAGGGUCAGCCAUAGUAGUACGGCACCCCUGGAGCAAAUUAGGAUUAAGUGUCUUGCUCAAGGGCACGUCAACAGAUUUUUCACCUAGUCGGCUCAGGCAUUCCAACCAGCGACCUUUCCGGUUACUGGCCCAAAGCUCUAACUGCUAGGCUACCUGCUGCCGAAUAGAUCUCCCAUACACACAGUACAUACAUGUACCAGAAUACAUUUAUAACAUCCUCCCUCAGCAGUUGAAAAUCAGAGGGUUGUUAUUGCACAACACACACUGUUGAGGAGACCACUAAAACGGGCAUUUUACACAAGCUCCAAAACACAUGGUCUUAUUGCUUCCAGUUUGUACUUUGAAAUGUACGCUCUGACUGUGGCUCGACUGUAGUCGGACUAUAGACUGUGGCUCUAUAUCAAAAUGGCUGUGGUGGAACAGUUUUUUUCAGAUAAAAUCACCAACAUAGCAGUGAGACUGAUGCAGUCUUGUUGAUAGAACUACUAAAAACAUCACAGGCAAGCUUAUUUUUAAAUUAUAUAUUUUUUCUCAUUUGUAAAUAAGAACUGGAGGCUGAGUCUCUAGAACUCAAACACACACAGACACACAUACAUACAAGAGGCCAAAUAGAUAUAAGGAGGGGACCCUGGGUCUGUUUCCUGAUGACAAUGUCCAUCCUGUACUAACCAUAUGAGACUCCUCCUGCACAGCCCAUAUCCAGCAACGAAACAAUGGCACUUCACAUUCAGUUAUAAAUGUAGGAGGAAAAUCAGAUUUUACAUGCAGUUUCAAAAAAGUCAGCAAAAUGAACUGGAUAAAAUGCGGUCCCUAUGAUGUAAAGUAAUUUGUAGUCUUUUUGUGUGCAAUAAUUGUGGUGUUUCCAUCACAUAACACACACAAUGUCACCUAUGAAGUAGGCACAGAUGUAUUGUUCUGCAGUCAGAAAGUAGGAUAGAGGAUGGGUCAAGUGACAGUGUUACGUACAGUACUCAGUGGUGAGACAUCUGGGUUCUCGCUUAUCUUCUUAUGACCCUGCCUUUGAAGACAGACAUGAUUAACUCUGGUAUUGUUACAGUAUGAUUUCCAGUGUGUGUGUUUUUUGAUAGGUCAAUGGAGUGGGGCGGGCUUCGCAGAGCAGAGUGAAUCUCUCAGUGACACUGGGGCACGUGGUGUCAAGGGAGUCAGUCUACACAACGCCCUCAAUGAAACUGGUGUCCAGGUGAACGAUGAGCAUGCGCAGGAAAGACAUUUCCUUGCGUGUGUUCUCAAAGAUGAUUCGUGGGUCAUCAGACUGGCAGCGGAGGCAGUUGGGGGCCAUCACCAUGGCAAGGUUAUUGACAUCCAUCUUAGUAACAGACACAUUAGCAGGCUGAGCAAACACCUGGGGAUAAUUAGUGUGGGAGAGAGGGUGAAAAAUCAUUAGGGACUGAAGGCGAAGUAUGUAACUUGAAACAGAUUGACUAAGGACAAAUUAAUGAGUUUGUAGUGAUUUGUUCCAUUUCAACUUCCUGACCAAUGACCAUAUCUCCAAUGUUGAAUAUGAUAAUAGUUGUGUCAGUAUGACUGUAUUGUAUUAGCUGUGGUGUUCUGUGUCGUGGUUAUUACCUGCAGGAAGUGGAUGAAGUAGCACAGCACCAGUCUGUUGAGCUCAGGCAAACACUGUACAACAGUAAUGGCUGCCACAGGGUCGUCAUAGUUACUGACACACUGCUUGUAGAAGGCCAUGGGGAUGAGAGGCUCCUCCAACUCACGAUACCAAAGCUUCAUCAGGGAGGCUAGAGGAGACGGUGACAGUGUUAACACUAACACACACUCGCACAGAUAAUAGCAGAGGUACAGACUAACUCACCAGGUACGUUGGGGUCUGAGAGGUUUUCUGGGAUCCGCCAUUGGUCGACCUGGAGCUUCAAUGCGUUGACUUCAUCGAUAUCUCCAGGCACCCUUCAGAACAAGCGUUCUAAUUCAGUAUUCAGUUGCACUGCAUGGCCACUAGGGGGAACUAUAACCCCCACUAUUACCAAUCUACAGGUAUGUUCAGUGGCAUAGCUUGAAAACCCAUUAUAACAUGGUGAAACGGUUAUCAUGACUCAAACGGCACUGGGAGUAUCAUGUUGUUAAUUGGCGGAAUUUGUUUGGAUUUAGGGACUGACCAUGAUAACAACCAUGGUGAAUAGGCCUGUUCUGUAUUAGCUGGAGUAGGAGAAGAGAAAAAAAUCGACCAAAGCUCCUUAUCGCCCAUGAAACAUUGUAGUGGGUGGGGUAUAACGUUUAUGUUGAGAAUAAAUACUCCUCCAAACAAAUUAAAAUCUAAUAGAAUAAUCUACAGAAAUACAGACCAAACAAAAUACUCACAAAUCACAGAUAUGAGAAUAGCUCUAACAACGUGAUUGAAAGCCCAUGGCCUCAUGCAAAAACAAAAAUGUAAACACAUUUUUAUAAAGUAUCAAAUGAAACAUUGCUGGUCUCCAGGGGCUCUUGAGCAGUGGUAUGCAAUGUUUGCUCUGCUGUCCAUCUCUUUACUGUAGAGUACACAGGGAAUGUUUGCUUUAAACUGUGCUGCUUCAGGAGACCACCCACCAAGGCUGGCAUACAUUUGUCUAGAUCCUCACUAGAUCUCCUUUUAUGACCCCGACCCUGCUAAACACAAACCCAUACCUCAUUGAUGAAUACCCUAAGUCCAAUGAGGUGAUUUGCUGACCCUGCCCAUCUGUCUCACCUGAAGAUGCCCUCAGUCUGGGCCCCUCCCAGUGCCAGGACGUAUUGGGAGAGCUGCACCUGUACCCAGGGUAGCUUCCUGUCUGGGAAGAGUUCACUCUGGCGCUCCAUCACCUCGUCCAAGGAGCUGCCAAACAGGGAGGGGGUCACAAUGGCCCGUCUGCUGUGGUCAAUCUCCUCCAGAGUUGGCUUACGAAGACCCUGCAGGGGAGGUUCAGAGUGUGACUACUAGGACUAUAUUUUACACUGUUCAUGUAAUACUUUGUCUAUGACUGUUAACAUCAAAGAUUAUAUCUGAAAUAGACUGUCUUGUGUGUAUGUUAAGCCCUGUGAUUAAGAAUCUAUCCAUGAUAUGUUUCUGACUAAUGUCCAUGUUUAUCUUUCUAGCAUUAUUAAUCUCUUUAUCAACAUCUGUAUUGGUUAGGAACCCUUUGAGUAUUAAACAAAUAGGGACAUUCAGGGUAGGGUUGAGUUUUGACUGCAUGCUCUAUUUGGGCAUUUUUAAAUACCUUGGUUUAUGACAAAUACUAUUUUCCCUUGUCAUUUCCUGCCCCUUUGCCAUGCUCACUUCUCAACUCACCUUUUUGCCUCCAGUUAUGGCCACUUUCUGUAGUUUGCGAUAGCAGAACUUUGCAUACGUGCUGAUGGGCAGACCUGUGAAGAGAGAAGGAAGACAGGGCCAAUGUAACACUGAGGAAUGCGACUCAGUAACCCAACACCAUGGGAAAUACAGCUCUUAUUAUAGCUGCACGUCACACCUUCAGAUACGUCUGCUCAGUGAGUGAAUCCUCUAAGGAACCUUGGUUUUCAACCAAAACAACAGAUAAAAGGGUUGAACAAUUCCUCACUAAAUGGACACGCAAUUUGUUCCCAUAGAUGUCAGAUAUUUCCGAGGCAGUAAUUGGAGAUAUGCUGGCUGUGUGAUUCUGGCAUAAGGGGAUCAGAGUAUACAUGUCUCAACGGUCCCGGUAUAGAAAGAAAAGCUGGGAGAAUGGAGCCAUCCAGCCAGCACAUCCUGUCCCAGCUGAUUCAUCAGACAGACACUUAGUAGUACACUGGAGGGAGCAGUACCCCUACCUACAGACCCAAACUAUCGGUCUGCCUCGUUCCCUGUACUUGGGUGUAUUUUCUGAAGUAAGAUACAUUUGAGGAAUUAAAUAAUCAUGACUCUGCCUCAAAAAGUAAUGGAACAAGGCACUCAACAAUCAUGCUCCAAAUUUAUGAGCCACUUCCUAAGAGAAUCGCAUAAUUUCCGUACUACAGGCCGUCGUCACUGUGGUAACUAAAAUGUACACAUAAAACAGGUCUCCACUUCCUUCCCAGAGCCUCCCUAUCACACCCAUGGGAUCCCAACCAUCUCCCUUCCUUCCCAGAGAACUCUCAGGUGGCUGAGCCCUGGCCAGAUGGAGAAUUUUGUGCUGCAAUGAAAAAUAUCCUUCCUGGAAUGUUCUCUAGACUGAAAGACCCUGGAUUUAUAGCAAACAGGUGACUGACUGUCAUGCAUGUACACCGCCAUCGUUAAUCUGGCCCAGUUUGACUAAUUACAGCUAAUUACAGAGAUCAUAACGAUAAUUUCCCAUUGAUCUCAGGGAAAACACACUGUUUUUCCCAAGAUUCCCUGAAUUAACUAAUCAUUAGGGGAAGAAAAGCAAGAGUUGGACUACUUUCUUUACCCAGCCUGAGAGCAGGUUUUAACACCAGCGGUGGUCCAAAUGAAAAUGUUGUUUUGAUAAGGCAAAACAACAACGAAGCAACCAGAGCCCAUGAGAAAAUCACCCCUCAGAGGAUUAAGAGCAGAAGGCAAAUCCUGUAAUGAUGACACCUGUUAACUUCUUGGUUCAGACGGUCUGCCUAUAUCUGUUCGAUUCUCCCGAGGUAUCAGUUUAGUGACGCUACCUCAGCAAAGUUUUUAAACCCAAGUAAGCAAGGCCCGCCUCAGACCAGCCUAGGCCCAAGAAAAGCCCUUCCAAGCCCAGACAAGAGGCCUCCAGUUCCCACACACUUACUCCCUCCCACCACUCUGCUCACAGCUGCUCCGUGCCGUGGUCACAACACCACCCUUCACUUCAGCUCGUCUAUCCAGACAGCAGCUCUCAUUAUGCUGUUCGUGAGGAGGCUUUCCCUUGUGGUUGGCUGGUGGGUCCACGUCGUGAGCAAUGCAAUAGCCCUUUCCCUCAAGUCAUUAUUCCCGCCUCUAUCUCAAGACCUCUACAGUGAGUCACUCCCAUGAACGGUAGCCAUUCCUCAUGGCCUGUGAUUCACUGAUGUUGUCCAGGGUGUACAAGAGGUCGAUGUUACAGUCAUUGAUGUACAAUGUGUGUGGGUUCACCAGUGUGGUCACUGCCACUAGACGGGUAGGUUCCUCUCUGGUGACAUCAUCACAGCUGAUAUUGUGGGUUGCCCUAUAGCAACAAGACUAAUGAGUGUGCAGGUUUAGGGCAAAACAGACAGGAUUGACUUAGAAUCAAAAGAUUGUUGACAACAUGUAAACUAUAUUUCCUCUUUGAAUGUUUAUUGGAAACAUAAAUGCAUUUGCAGAAUGA